RNAcentral lists this ribosomal RNA (763 nucleotides) under uncultured bacterium. Its description in RNAcentral is "bacterial SSU rRNA". It matches the Rfam family "Bacterial small subunit ribosomal RNA", at positions 8 to 796 of the family's 1533-position model. The record is from RNAcentral.
AGAGUUUGAUCAUGGCUCAGGACGAACGCUUGCGGCGUGCCUAAGAAAUGCAAGUCGAACGGGAGCUUCGGCUCUAGUGGCGAACGGUCGCGUAACACGUGGGCAACCUGCCCUGAAGCGGGGGACAACAGUCCGAAAGGACUGCUAAUACCGCAUGUGGACCGAGGAGGCAUCUCCUCUGUCUAAAGGAGCAAUCCACUUCAGGAUGGGCCCGCGGCCUAUCAGCUUGUUGGUGGGGUAACGGCCUACCAAGGCUUCGACGGGUAGCUGGUCUGAGAGGACGACCAGCCGGAUUGGGACUGAGAUACGGCCCAGACUCCUACGGGGGGCAGCAAUUAGGAAUCUUGCGCAAUGGGGGAAACCCUGACGCAGCGACGCCGCGUGGAGGAUGAAGUCCUUCGGGAUGUAAACUUCUUUUCUCAGGGAAGAAAACAAUGACGGUACCUGAGGAAUAAGCCCCGGCUAACUACGUGCCAGCAGCCGCGGUAAUACGUAGGGGGCGAGCGUUGUCCGAAUUUACUGGGCGUAAAGAGCAUUAAGGCGGGUUCUUAAGUGAGAGGUGAAAGGUUCAGGGCUCAACCCGAACAGUGCCUUUCAUACUGGGGACCUUGAGUGCGGGAGAGGCGAGUGGAAUUCCUGGUGUAGCGGUGAAAUGCGUAGAUAUCAGGAGGAACACCCAUGGCGAAGGCAGCUCGCUGGCCUGUAACUGACGCUGUAGUGCGAAAGCGUGGGGAGCAAACAGGAUUAGAUACCCCGGUAGUCC